CACGGUGGAGGCGGCGACGUGCAGCCCGACGCAGCUGACCCCGUGCGCGCCGGCGAUCAUCGGGAACGCGGCGCCCAGCGCGGCGUGCUGCGGGAAGCUGAAGGCGCACCCGGCGAGCUGCCUCUGCAAGUACAAGAAGGACCCCAACCUGCAGCGCUACGUCAACUCCCCCAACGGCAAGAAGGUCUUCGCCGCAUGCAAGGCCCGCCUGCCAAGGUGCUGAACUAGCUAGUGCCACGAGCUUCAUCGAUCUCCCUCAAGCGUUGCACGUACACUACGUACAUUUGGCGAUGUGAUGGCCGUUCGAGUGCCUGCCGAGUAUGUGAGAUAAUAAAACGAGGGGAGUGCUAGGAGUACUUUAUUUUCAGCAUCAAUGAAUUGACAGCGCUGUACUAUAUUGGUACGGUGUGCCAGUUAUGUCCAUGUGUCAUGUAUACUCAUGCCAUGUCCUGUGUUAUGUCAGCAGAUAUAUGUCCUUGAAACUCCGUAUUAAUAAAGAUUCUAGUAGUGCAGUAAUAAUCAUAAAUAUUUUGUUAUGUUCCCUGUUCGCUCUAAAAAGAAAGUAAUCUUAAAAAAAAAUAGAAGAAAUACUAUAGUAACUGGAACUAGAAUAUGUGAGAAUAACACCCCUCCACAUCCUUACCAUAUAUCAAGAGACUCUAUGGCUUAAUAUAUUUCAGUUAUAAAAUACAUUCUAUGAGCUGGACAGCGCCUUGAGUGUCUCGCGUAGUACAUGACGCUGAAACGUAACGCACAAAGCGAGGCGGGGAGCUAUUGGCCCUGUUUGGAUACUCUAACCUGGUUAGAGUUAGAGUUAGAUUCUAACUUUUGAACUAACCUGAACUAACUCUAACGCUAAAGGUGUUUGGAUGGGAGGGUUAGAUGGACAAUAAAUGCUCUUUUUUAAUCAUUUGGUUACUUUGGACCUCUCUCUUUCUCUGGACCCCACCUACUCUAACCCAAAAAAGCACUUCUUGGGUGGGUUAGAGUUUUUGAGUGGGUUAGAUGCAUCUAACCAACUCUAACCCACCUGUUUGGAUCUUUGAGGAUUAGAUGGUUCAAAUCUAACCCACUCUAACUCUAACCCUAGGAUCCAAACAGGACCAAGAUCAAUUAGCUUCCUACUACGUUAGUACGUGCACGUAGAAAGAAAAGAACUGAUUGAUCCCUUCCCAUUCGUUUCUAGGUUAGCACGCGCGUAUUCAGGGAGCGACUCCCAAUUUUCUAGCUGCCGCCGAGGAUCCGUCUCUUCGCAACUACACUCACGGCGGAGCUCCUGUCCCCUUUUCUCCUAAAAAUCGAAUUUACGUCUCUAGUCUAGACCGCCGCAGAUUAUAAUCCCCAGGCAACUGUCGCUACCCCGCUUUGCUCUUUGUCCAUCAAUGAUUCGACCAUCCAAGGUACUUCCUCUGUAAACAAAUAUAUAAUAGUGUUUAGAUCACUACCUUAGUGAUCUAAACGCUCUUAUAUAUAUUUACGGAGAGAAUAUGUCUUAUACUCAUAUUGCGGUUCCUAGUCUCCUAGACCAAUAAUCAUCACAUCGACAGUCUUAAACAAUUAUCAAUUGAUGCAAAUAUAUAUAUAUAUAUAUAUUCAGCAUUAUGUCUUAUCAUGUCAUCCGAAAGGAAGUAUAAAUCUGGUAGUGAUAAAAGGUAAAAGGAAAAAAACAUUGGAUGAUUUGGUACAACCACAACACGUAAAUAUUCAUAUAUUGUUUAAGAGUACUACUGUACAUCCACUACUUCAAUAAACCCAACUAAUCGGAAUUCAAAAUCUGAUCAGCAAGAAAAUAAUGUUGACACCAUAUUGUGGUUCUUAGAAUGUAGCUAAUUCAUCUGAUGCACAUGCACAGUCCGCUAGGGUUGAUGAACAAGAAGUUUAUACUACUAAUAUUUACCGUCCAAGAAGUCGGGAUAAUCUUGGUAAUAAAACAAGGCACAUCUUAGUUGAGAAAGGGCCUAUGAGAGAGAACAAACAAAUGGACUACCAUCUAGAUGAUGAAAGACGAUGUUUUUCAUAUUCUCAUUAUGACAGGAAAUUAAGUAAUGGAAAAGAACAGUGAGUCAAAAGAGGUUACAUGGUUUGGUAACAUUAUGCACCGAGAAGAAAUUAUUGGAUUAUCUUGACAUCGAUUCAAUCAUAAGUAAUUUCGCAUCGAGGAAUGUUAGAACAAACUUUUAGGCGAAUACGUAUGAAUUAUUUCAUAUAUAUGUAUAUUCAUUUUCAUUGUUAUGAAGUCUACAUUAAGGGCCCCGAGUUUUAGUUUCACACCGGGCCCCCAAAAUCUCAGGACCGGACAUGUGUAAAAGCACGAGGCAAUUGUUGUGGACGAAGCUCUUGUCGACCAGGUUGGCCUGACUUCUUCCGUCGUUCAUUGCAAUUGGACCUUGAUAGUACAUCUUCGGUGUGCACAGAUCAGGGAUGCUCACACUUAACCUCUUCUCCAAGACAUUAUUGGGGAGUAUACAUCAAGUGAUAAAAGCAUUAACAUAAUACUAAGAAUGGAUAAAUUCACGAAAAUGAUAAAUCUGGAACGUCCAGAUUUCAAGCAUGGCAACCCGAACAUUUUCCAUGGCAACCUUAGUUCACGUGAUGUUGGCAAACAUGGCAAUUUUCUGACAAAAAGAAUUGGGGCAAAGUUACCAUGCUUUAACAACUAAAGUUACCACCAUGCGUCAACUAAAGUUGCCAUGAAAAAAGUUUGGGAUGACAUGCUUAAAAAUCUGAAUGUCAGAAAUUAUCGGGUCCUAAAUUUAAAAAGGGAAAGGAAGGUGACAUGUGCACUUGAAGGAGCUUUGUAAGCCUGAGACUUGAAAACCUUUACCAAGAAGAUAACCAGAAGCAGUGCUUAAAAGAGUCGCACUAGCAUUGUCAAUGGGCCUCACAAACUGAGGCCUUGCACAAUAGAACAACAUUAUCAUUUUUCUUAGGGUUCAUCUACUAGCUGGCCAUUGAAAGAUGAUGCAAAUUAACAAGUGUUGUCGGCAUUGACGAAAGGUCGUAUUACACCGAGAUAACAUUGCAAACCUAAAUCUCAUUGGAUUAUUUCAUUCCUCCACUUUGAGGUGGUAUGCAAACACCAUCAAACAAACAUUCCGUCAAACAACCGGUACCUUGACCACUAAAUCCACCAUGGGGACAAUACUAUGCUUUGUAAAAAAAUGAGGAUGUCCACCUACAGUGUUGAAAUGCGCAUAUAAUAUCAACCGAGACCCCACCAGAAACACGAAGCUCAUAGCAUUACCAAUGACCAUCACCAUUGGACGAAGUCGAGCAUGGGUCGCGGUACAUGACCAGCUUGAGGAGGAGAGAUGGAAGCACUAUGAUGCGAUGCGAUGUCACUAUCGAACUAGUCAUCAACACAUCGGCUGAUGAACGUAAUAAACCCACUGUAAUGCCAAGCAUAAGCACUAACAACAGUUAUGGGUGACUAGUCAUCGAGCUUUCUCCUAGAACCACGGACGUUUCAAGAUGGGGCAAAGCAGGGGCACCCCUUGCCAAUGUUUCGAUUUUACUUAAUUAUUACUAGCACUAGAUUGGAUCAUUAAUACCCCACCCCCUUCCCCGGAAGUAACCUAAGGCCUAUGCCAAUGCAUCAUUUGUUAGCACGUUAUCAUAGGAGCAUUAAUAAAUUAAGACUACUAGCCCAAUUCAUUGUUUCUUAGAGGUUGUCUUUAAAUUUGAUGAUUUGGUGCUCAUGCAUAAAUGUGAUUGGGCUAUUAACCAUUUUUACCUACGGUUGUGUGCAAAUGUUGUACUAUCUUAGCUAAGAACAAUCCUACUCUCUCUCAUCAUUAACUAGUGUGACACAUCAGUGAAACGUCUAUGAAUCCGCGCUAAGAAACCUCCAAUGUCACAGGCUUAAAAUAUACUGAAUAUCUCCUUGGUUGAACCCUUUAGUCGACUACCUGAGGCAGGUCCAAUAUAUAAAAAGUGGCCCGAUCAGGACACCUUAGCUCAUAUAAAAAAGAAAGAGGACAAAUUAUAAUAUUUGUUGUUUUAUUACAGUAACUAGAGUACACAAAGAUGGUGGCGUGAGGCGAUCUGUGACACUUGCAUGAAUUAUUACAGUGCACAUAAAUUUCUAUAUAAUGUUGCAUAUAUUGUAAUAUCCUUAAAUAUCUACUUUUGAUCAGGUAUAUAUCCUUUAAAAUUUUGGUACAUAUCUUCAAGUGUAGGAUCAAUAUGUUGCUACAGGUUUCUAGUGUAUGACUAUGUGUGCACAAAUAAAUAAUAGGACUGUAUACAUGAUAUUUAUGAGGAGCUUGUCAUUGAAUAGUUGGCAUCGUUAGUUUACUCAUUUUUCAUGGUAGGAUGUGUUCUAUAUAUUUUUUGAGUUCGGUAAUGAGCUGACUAUAUAAUACAUGUGCAUGCUCCAUAGAUAUGAAAUCCAAAGAACAUGGCCUCUAACCAACACAAAAAAAUAUAUUAUUAUAGUAGGUUUUUCUUUCUUUGUCCAUAAUUAGCAUAAAACUGCAAUUUAAUAUUGAAGUAAUUUUGUCUUGCACCCCUUAACCUGCUCAAUACUAGCCCAACUGAGUAGAACUUACGCAUUCAUCGUGUUGACUUAAAUUUAGCUAUAACAAACUAAAUACAUGAUUUAAAAUAUAGACUAGUAAUACCAUGCAAAACGUAUAAAAUUUUGGUAUAAAUAUCAUUUAGGUUUUUAAUAGAUAUUCCUCAAAUGCUUAGGGAUAACCCUUUUUAGGCGUUUGGUUCCUUGAGAAGGUGCGAUUUUCAGGGAUAUGGACAGCCAAGGUUCCUGAAAUAUACUCGAAAUGUGGUUGAGCGGAGCCGUGAAAAUCUGACGGAUAUAACAACCACCCCACACGGAUGAAAUGUUUUUCCUUCUAUUUUGCUUACCAACUAUUUCCCCCAUCUUGUCUCUUCCAUGACCUGGUGUGACGGCACAAACCGUGGGCGACGGCGGUCGAACCAAUGAAAACGACGGUGACGCGUCAUGGAAGAGAGUGACAACUGAAUUUAAGCAUGAGCGGUGUUGAACAUGUCCAUGUUUUUGACCCCAUGGAACGGGUUGCCUCCAUGGUGCGGGCAGUGGAGCCAACCAUGGCUUGUAAUACUCCGACCAUGGCACGGUUUAUACCGUGGGUACGUUCAUCUGGGCACCGCAGCCUCUGCCGCGACGUCUGCCACGCCCGUCACAACGACAAAGUCUGACGCCACCACCACGCCCACAGGCGGCCAACAACUUCUUUAGAUUUUCCUCCUUUCUGACCUUCGUUUUGAUGUAAUGAGCUUGCCGCAUAGCUGAGCUGAUAUUUUGAGCGAGCAGCAUGAUCGGAUACUCCGGCACCUCUGCCACCUCCAUCUUCAUAGGUUCUGCUCUGGUUCGAUGAAUCGGUGGCGGAAGGAAGGAGAGGGCAAGCAAUAUGAGAUAAAAUUGAUGGAGAUCGUCGUGGAAUGGAAGAAGGGGGUGGGGGAUUUUGGCGCAGAAACAGUGUUGGUCACUACAAAAGCACAUGGUCCGCCUUUCUUUUGGAUGGGGCAGGGUGAUUAUAGGCAGACGUUUCUCGUGUUCGGACUCCCGCAACCCCCUCUACCAACGUAUGUUCUGGUUUGCGGGACAAUUAUGAUCUGAAGUGUGCUGCAGACGGAUGCAUGACCGCGUUGCAUGGUUUUCAAAGUUCAAACUGUGCGGUCCGGAUGAAUGCGGACGGUUUGAGGUUCGGCAUUGGAGAUGCCCUUAGGUGCAAUCAUAUUAUGCACAAACCUAAAAAAAGACAUGUCUCUCUUAUUGUCAUAUUUGAUUUUGAAACCAAGGAAAUUUUAAUAGGUUGGACACGAUGGAUUGUUUUUGUUGAAAUUGCUAGCAAGCACACCAUAAGUUUUUUUUCGUGAAUCCAAUGCUACAAAGGAACAAUAUUUAAUUAUUUAUAAGAAAAAAUUCUACAAUUUUCAAUCAUGUUCAAUUCCUUGACCUAAAGUCACUCAAAAUGUGAUGACUUAAUCGUGGAAAUGAUGACCCAUGCUCACACUGUCAUACUGCCUCAAGUCCUCGACAGUCCAUGAAGCUCGAUCGAUUCUCUUCCUCAAUCAUCGCCGUCCCAAAAGGAUACGACCAGUGCGCAUCUAGCCGAACACCCCUCUACGUGUAACUCAGCAGUGCAUAGAGCCGAGACUUUCCUUGAUCGUUUCGGCACGAUCAUGAUGUGUUCCACUGACCCACCGUGAUCAUCAGGCUGCCCAUGUUCACAUAGGAAAAAGCGCAACACGUCACCCCGAUCCGCACCGUCCGAUGCGACACGCGCCGUCUCGAUCGGUCCCUAUUGCAGCUCUGUGUCCGCGCGCAUGUUGAUCGGUAGUGCACGCAUGCUUGAUGCUUCCGCGUUGCACACCGUCACCGUAUCGCGCACCGCACCUACUACGUGCUGCGGCGGCCUAUAAAACGCACCAUCGACCACGCCCAUUCUCCACAACCCAGCCAUCACUCAACUCCUCACGUACGCACAGUCGCGCACACACUACUUCCCUUUCCAUCCGAGCCCAAGAAGCAACCAUGGCGGCAUCGAAGGCCACCCUCGUCUGCUUCAUGAUCGUGGCGCUGGCGGCCGCGCUGCUGGCGGCGCCUGGCACGGUGGAGGCGGCGACGUGCAGCCCGACGCAGCUGACCCCAUGCGCGCCGGCGAUCAUCGGGAACGCGGCGCCCAGCGCGGCGUGCUGCGGGAAGCUGAAGGCGCACCCGGCGAGCUGCCUCUGCAAGUACAAGAAGGAUCCCAACCUGCAGCGCUACGUCAACUCCCCCAACGGCAAGAAGGUCUUCGCCGCAUGCAAGGCCCGCCUGCCAAGGUGCUGAGCGAUUGAUUCACGACCGUUGCACGUACACUACUCGUGUGGUAUAGCAUGGUUUUGCGAUGUCAGGUGAGGU
Molecule: long non-coding RNA, 6886 nt
Filed under: Hordeum vulgare
Lineage: Eukaryota; Viridiplantae; Streptophyta; Magnoliopsida; Poales; Poaceae
Description: long non-coding RNA (HVUL_LNC002276)
Source: RNAcentral